RNAcentral lists this ribosomal RNA (503 nucleotides) under uncultured bacterium. RNAcentral describes it as "partial 16S ribosomal RNA". It matches the Rfam family "Bacterial small subunit ribosomal RNA", at positions 30 to 523 of the family's 1533-position model. The record is from RNAcentral.
AUUGAACGCUGGCGGCAGGCUUAACACAUGCAAGUCGAGCGGGGUGAUGGUGCUUGCACUAUCACUUAGCGGCGGACGGGUGAGUAAUGCUUAGGAAUCUGCCUAUUAGUGGGGGACAACAUCUCGAAAGGGAUGCUAAUACCGCAUACGUCCUACGGGAGAAAGCAGGGGAUCACUUGUGACCUUGCGCUAAUAGAUGUGCCUAAGUCGGAUUAGCUAGUUGGUGGGGUAAAGGCCUACCAAGGCGACGAUCUGUAGCGGGUCUGAGAGGAUGAUCCGCCAAACUGGGACUGAGACACGGCCCAGACUCCUACGGGAGGCAGCAGUGGGGAAUAUUGAACAAUGGGGGGAACCCUGAUCCAGCCAUGCCGCGUGUGUGAAGAAGGCCUUAUGGUUGUAAAGCACUUUAAGCGAGGAGGAGGCUCUUUUGGUUAAUACCCAAGAUGAGUGGACGUUACUCGCGGAAUAAGCACCGGCUAACUCUGUGCCAGCAGCCGCCGUAA